CAAUAUUGUUGAGUGUCCACAAGACAAGUUAGUUAUCACCUAAAAAAAACCUUACCUCUGAUUGUUACCUAGUACUACUGGAGACUCUUUCCAUAAAUGUUAGAUGUCCCCUAACAGAACAUGUCACCAUAGAAACAGUUAUACAUCUUACAUUGCUAAAUUUCAACACUUGUUAAGAUCAAAUUGUAUGAAGCAUCCAUUGUACAAGUCCCUGUAAAUGAACUGUUACUAUAGAAACAAUAAUGUAUUAUUAUACAGUGUGUAUUAAUAUAAUUCUGUAAUUUGGCUUGCAGCCAGAACUACUAAAUGAUCUGCACUUAUAUAGCGCUUUUAUCGAAAGCGCUUUACACUGUGUCUCAUUCACCCAUUCACACACACGGUAGCAGAGCUGCCAUGCAAGGCGCUAACUUGACAUCAGGAGCAACUUGGGGUUCAGUGUCUUGCCCAAGGACACUUCAGCAUGUGGAGUCACGUGGGCCGGGAAUCAAACCGCCAACCCUACGAUUAGUGGACAACCCGCUCUACCACCUGAUCCACAGCCGCCCAUCAUACCUUCUGACCAAUCAGAAUCCAGAAUUUGACAGAGCUGUGGUAUGUUCCUGUAUAUUACAUGUUACAAAAUGUACUAAUUUGGACACUCUACAGUCAACAAACCAUUUAUAGACCAUCAUCAAUAAGGCUAUCAACUAAUUUUAUACAAUUAUUCAAAUGUUAAUGGUUGUCUGCAUUUAGUAGGUAACCUACACACACUUUAUAAAGUAUCAAUUUGUACCUUUUUUCUCUCACUUUACUUGGAUGGCCCAUUUUAUAGCUCUUCAUAACACAAUAUGGAACAAGCAGUGAUUCAACCGCAGUUCCCAAAGAAGCCACAGGUGGGUAGAGUGUUGUGUGUUGCCAUGCCAACGCACAGAAUGACUGACUGACAGACCAUAGACAAACUGAGAUGACCUUCUAUCCAUCCGACCAGAUAAUCCUCCCCCAACCCUCUCCAAAAAAAAAAACAACGCAUCCCCCACCUCCCUCACUCCAUCCCAUCAGCCCCCUUCACUAGCUCUCACCUCCUCUGCCUCAUCGCCACUUUGUUGCCAUGGAAACAUGAAGAUGAAAAGAGUUACUCAUAGAUUAAAUGAGAGAUCUGAGGUACAAAAAAAGAACAGAGUUACAAGUCCUUUGAAUUAUGUUCUAUGAAUUUAUGUAGAUAUCAGCAUUUUUAGCUCAGCUGUGGGUCCUGUGCUGAUUUAUGAAAAGCUUUAGUGUGUGUGUAUGUGUGUGUGCAUGUGUGUGCAGAUUAACUCCCAGCAUUACAGAUCCCAGUGUUUUGUGCCUUUUGUUUGUGAUUAUGCAUUCAGUAGUACAAUUUUAAAAUGGUGUAGCAGGAACAUGAAAUAUGAUUUAGCACAGCUGUGGUACGAUUAAUGGAACCGAGAAGGCCGAAUAAUCUGUCACAGAGCGGUAUUCUGAGUGUAUGUGUGUAUGUGUGUGUGUGUUUUGAAAUGUUACUAUGUGUUACAUUGCAACAGACAUUGCACAGAUGAGUAAACCGAUGACAGAUAAACUGAUGACAUCAGAUUUUGCACAACUCAAAAUGAUGUGUGUGUGUGUGUGUGUGUGUGUGUGUAUGUACACAUCUUUUUUUUUUUUUUUUUGGCAUAACCAUAGACAUCCAUGGUUACUGUAGUAUGUCAUAGUCAUAUUACUACUACUAUGGUCAUUAUAGAAUCUUCUCUAAUAAACACAACCUCUUGAUGUUUGAGGAGUAUGAUAUGAUGUACAAAAAUGUGAGCUUUUGUAACACCACAUAUAGGUGGUACAAAGUAUCAUAACUGAGCUAACAAACCUUAAGUAUUGUAAAAAAAAAAUAAAAAAUAAAAAAAAUUAUGAAUUUCAAAUUCAUGAUGAAUACCAACCCAAUAUCUCAAUAAAAUAGAGCAACCAAUAACAGUGUUGUGACAGCUAACAUAAGUGGCACAUUUUGUAAGAAUUCUCAAAUCUGAUUGGUCAGAAGGUAUUGAUUAAUUUUCAAUAAC
Long non-coding RNA from Ictalurus furcatus (blue catfish), 2027 nucleotides. RefSeq lists it as uncharacterized. The transcript has 3 exons. The record is from RefSeq and is a predicted model, not a curated record. NCBI's taxonomy places the organism in Eukaryota, Metazoa, Chordata, Actinopteri, Siluriformes, Ictaluridae.